Long non-coding RNA from Temnothorax curvispinosus, 180 nucleotides. RefSeq lists it as uncharacterized. The record is from RefSeq and is a predicted model, not a curated record. The transcript is spliced from 3 exons. Lineage: Eukaryota; Metazoa; Arthropoda; Insecta; Hymenoptera; Formicidae.
GACCACGACACCGCACAGAAACAAUCGUUUUAAUUUCAGUAUUGCUUUCCAUCAGUGGAUGUUCAUGCAGUCCAGAGCAGCACCAAGUAGUUUGAUAGAAGAGCAAAAGAUUUAUUUAUUAGAUAUUGUUACGUUGCUUUCCAUCAGUGGAAGUUCACGCAGAGCAGCACCAAGCAGUUU